Molecule: long non-coding RNA, 654 nt
Filed under: Arabidopsis lyrata
Lineage: Eukaryota; Viridiplantae; Streptophyta; Magnoliopsida; Brassicales; Brassicaceae
Description: long non-coding RNA (ALYR_LNC003009)
Source: RNAcentral
GCUGGGCUCCAGCUUCGAACCACGGCACACCGCUCCAGGCCUGGCCAACAAAGAUCCCAAGAACCGCUGCCAUUGCCCAUCGGCCAUGAAUCAGCUCAGCCUCUCUGUACCAUUUCAGAAAAGCCGGGUCUUUGCCCAAACCCAAUGGGUCGAACCCGUAAUCUCCCGGUAGCCUGCGAAUAUUACACACAUUUGACUCAAUAACUGGGUAAUAAUUCGGGCUUUUCAUACUCUUUUGAGAUUCAUUUUACAGAUAAGAACCAAAUGAGUAUUCACGACCUUCAGAACUAUCAUAAUCUAUUGUUCAUGCUAGUACAUAAGAGAUUUGAAUGAGAAUUCAGCAUUGUUCAUGCUAGUAACUGAUAGAUUUAAGAGAACUUACGAGCCAUCGAGCCAUUCAGGGUCAAGAAAGUUGCCACCACCUUUAACGGCAGGGAUCCAAGAUUUCUUAGGCUGAGCAGCCGCAGCAACGACAAUCAGAGUUUUCCGGCCAACUCUCUGAGCUCCAGUGCCAACGCCGUUUCCCAAUGCGGUGGAACUUCUCUUGCCUCCGGUGAGGAACGAAGAACCAAGCCCACUGAGGACAGCUCCGGAGACCGCCAUCGCCAUGAGAUCUCUAAUAUACUUCCUCUGUUUUUUUUCUCUCAAGAUGUG